Molecule: ribosomal RNA, 427 nt
Filed under: uncultured bacterium
Lineage: Bacteria
Description: partial 16S ribosomal RNA
Rfam family: Bacterial small subunit ribosomal RNA
Source: RNAcentral
UGGGGAAUAUUGGACAAUGGGCGAAAGCCUGAUCCAGCCAUGCCGCGUGUGUGAAGAAGGUCUUCGGAUUGUAAAGCACUUUAAGUUGGGAGGAAGGGCAUUAACCUAAUACGUUAGUGUUUUGACGUUACCGACAGAAUAAGCACCGGCUAACUCUGUGCCAGCAGCCGCGGUAAUACAGAGGGUGCAAGCGUUAAUCGGAAUUACUGGGCGUAAAGCGCGCGUAGGUGGUUUGUUAAGUUGGAUGUGAAAUCCCCGGGCUCAACCUGGGAACUGCAUUCAAAACUGACUGACUAGAGUAUGGUAGAGGGUGGUGGAAUUUCCUGUGUAGCGGUGAAAUGCGUAGAUAUAGGAAGGAACACCAGUGGCGAAGGCGACCACCUGGACUAAUACUGACACUUAGGUGCGAAAGCGUGGGGAGCAAACA